GUCUAAAAAUGCGUCUGAUGGAGCUUUUGAAGCGAAGCAAGAAGACUGGGUUGAACCAGAAAAGUGGGCCUAAACAUGCGCCUGGAUAAGCCUUGACAAUAGAGGGAUGUACAACUUUGUUAUGACCAUUAAAAUCUCGAUGAGGAUUCAUGCAGCUAUCAAGGAAAUACUGUUGUCUCAUGCUCCUGCUGUAGGACCGGUUUAGACCUUUGGUCCCAACCCUCCUCU
This 228-nucleotide long non-coding RNA is filed under the name Helianthus annuus (common sunflower). Its description in RNAcentral is "sRNA HanXRQr2_Chr15g0719781". The record is from RNAcentral. Lineage: Eukaryota; Viridiplantae; Streptophyta; Magnoliopsida; Asterales; Asteraceae.